UGGGGGCGCCCGGCGGCGCGGGGGCGGCGGCGACGCUGAGGGUCCCGCCCGGGGACAGCCCGCUUUCGGCUGGGCAGGGGGCCGGGGGCCGGCGAGCCCGCACCGAGCCCUUCGCCGGCCGCCGCGGAGCUGGGCAGGGAGCGGCAACGGUACCCGGUGCCCGGCGGCCACCCCCCGGCCACCCCCGCUCCGCGCCCGCGGCUCUCGGGGUGCGGCUGACGUCCAGCCCCCGCCGGCGGGCCGGCCGGGCUUAGGGACUGGCCUGCCGGCUGGCGAACGGGAUCAAGAGCCAGGUCCGUGUGGAUUUCCUAUCUGUUAAAAGCUUUAUAGACUUUCCCGCUCUGGGUUUUCCCUAGCAAGAACACAAAUGUACUAUGGCCAACUUAUAAAAUGUAUUUCUAUCCAUCCAUACAGGGGAAGCAGCAAGUGCACAGCAAUAUCCUCUGAAGACGUGUGCCCAGCUUCGAAGUCCAUGUGGCCUCUACUGGAGGAGAUAAGCUAUAUCUUUGGGCUUUUUCAGGUGCAAAUCCACUUCUGGGGAGGAGAACCAUGGAGCAGAAUCUGGACUGUUCCCCCUCUGCAGGUGCCGUCAAUACAUAACCCCACUGCUCCAGAAAGUCAGUAAACAAUAAAGCAGGAAUACAGACCAGAUGGGACCAACAGAGACAACUGAAAGAAGAUUUUCUUGGGAAGGACCAGAAAAAACCCUUGGAGGGAAGCUACAGAUCUCCAAGAUUAAAGUGUGCAUAAAGCAGCAAUUAUGCAGGGAAGAUGGCCAGCUUCAUGGACCUGCUUGGGAAAAGCAGCAGCCUGGAGGCAGGCAGCACCUGAGAGCUGUGUUUCUGUGUUGAGCUGGAGCAAAGCAGGCAGCAGAGAGACAGUCCACAGGUGUCCAGAGGUGAUGGACAGGCCCAUUAGAUUUUAGUAUUAUUGCUGAGAAGUCAGUGCUGCAUUGUUUUGCGAUGUGAUGCUGCUCCACUAGGACCUGUGCUGUGUCAGUGAGCUGAUUUGAUAUUCACUAUCUAACAUUUGCCUGAUAUUACUUAACAGUCAGUGCUUUCUGGUAUCAAGCACCCUCUAUUGGUUUAAAAUAUUGGGUCUGAGAUUAAUAAAUUCCCCUCACUCCUAUGUCCAGAAAAUUUUCUGCUGCCAAAAAUCCAUGAGUAAUUUUAUUUAGGCAGUUUCGUAGCACUGUUGUGAGCAGAAAAGGUCAUUUGCAGUUAAAAACAUUUCCUCUCUGAAGCUAGUUUUACUACCAAAAAUUGAAAAUUACUAUCUAGUCUUUGCUGAGAAUAGAAAUGCACUUUAAAAUAUGAAAUUAAUUUUAAAUGUUACUCUCAUAUGUCAUGGAAAUACAAGAGACUCUGCUAUCUUCACCACCAUUUUUAUAUACAUAUACAUCUAUAUAUAUGUUAAACCUUUUUUCUGAGGUAGAUAAAAAGUUAAAUAGAUGAAACAGAGCAGGUCACUAGCUGAUUACUUUCACUUUUAGUUUGGUAUCCUGCUGCAAAAUUUAAAUCUCCAUUGAAAAUACCGCAAAACUUGCACAUUUUCAGAGUGAAGAGUUAGGUUUUCACCCAUUUUGAGUUUAUAAAUAAAAAUCUAAGGUACCUAAUCUACAGUAGGUGCUGGGUUUUGGUAGUAGUCAUGGCCUUCAAAAGAAAAAUAAUAGAGUAUCACUUCAUAAAACCUUAUUUUUUGGGUAUAAGUAUAUAAUAUUCCAUGAUGCCAUGUGAAGGUACUGGGGAUUGUGAAGCAAUGUGAUACUCUCAGCCAAGGUAGCUAGACCAGGAGAAGUGCUGAGCUUCCUUCUGCACCUGAGAUAACUAAUUCAGAGUUAAUCCAGGUUCCAUCACACUGCGCUAAGCCUGGCCAUGUAGAUGUAUGUAUUACAUUUUAACUGUCCCCAUGUCUUCCAAAACCUACAGACAGCAGGCCUGCAAAUACCACAGGUAAAAUCAGAACUCAUGUAAAGUCCCUCAUUAAAUAUUUUGCAGAUACAUUCAUGUGCUAUGUGCCCCAGACUUGCUGAAAUGUCAAGGUACAAACCAA
This is a long non-coding RNA of Falco peregrinus (peregrine falcon), 2052 nucleotides long. RefSeq lists it as uncharacterized. The record is from RefSeq and is a predicted model, not a curated record. NCBI's taxonomy places the organism in Eukaryota, Metazoa, Chordata, Aves, Falconiformes, Falconidae. The transcript is spliced from 4 exons.